This 253-nucleotide ribosomal RNA is filed under the name uncultured bacterium. Its description in RNAcentral is "partial 16S ribosomal RNA". It matches the Rfam family "Bacterial small subunit ribosomal RNA", at positions 524 to 776 of the family's 1533-position model. The record is from RNAcentral.
UACGAAGGGUGCAAGCGUUAAUCGGAAUUACUGGGCGUAAAGCGCGCGUAGGUGGUUCAGUAAGUUGGAAGUGAAAUCCCCGGGCUCAACCUGGGAACUGCUUUCAAAACUGCUGAGCUAGAGUACGGUAGAGGGUGGUGGAAUUUCCUGUGUAACGGUGAAAUGCGUAGAUAUAGGAAGGAACACCAGUGGCGAAGGCGACCACCUGGACUGAUACUGACACUGAGGUGCGAAAGCGUGGGGAGCAAACAGG